CACGUAGGGGGCGAGCGUUGUCCGGAUUUAUUGGGCGUAAAGAGCUCGUAGGUGGUUUGGUAAGUCGGAUGUGAAAUCUCCAGGCUCAACCUGGAGGGGUCAUUCGAUACUGCCAUGACUAGAGGUCGGUAGGGGAGUGUGGAAUUCCUGGUGGAGCGGUGAAAUGCGCAGAUAUCAGGAGGAACACCCGUAGCGAAGGCGGCACUCUGGGCCGAUUCUGACACUGAGGAGCGAAAGCGUGGGGAGCGAACAGG
RNAcentral lists this ribosomal RNA (254 nucleotides) under uncultured bacterium. RNAcentral's name for it is "partial 16S ribosomal RNA". It matches the Rfam family "Bacterial small subunit ribosomal RNA", at positions 524 to 776 of the family's 1533-position model. The record is from RNAcentral.